Molecule: ribosomal RNA, 397 nt
Filed under: uncultured bacterium
Lineage: Bacteria
Description: partial 16S ribosomal RNA
Rfam family: Bacterial small subunit ribosomal RNA
Source: RNAcentral
AUACGUAGGUGGCAAGCGUUGUCCGGAAUUAUUGGGCGUAAAGCGCGCGCAGGUGGUUCCUUAAGUCUGAUGUGAAAGCCCCCGGCUCAACCGGGGAGGGUCAUUGGAAACUGGGGAACUUGAGUGCAGAAGAGGAUAGUGGAAUUCCAAGUGUAGCGGUGAAAUGCGUAGAGAUUUGGAGGAACACCAGUGGCGAAGGCGACUUGCUUGCCUGAAACUGACUCUGAGGAGCGAAAGCGUGGGGCGCAAACAGGAGUAGAGGCCCCGGUAGUCCACUCCGGAAACGAUGUGUGCUGAGUGUCGUGGGGUUCCCGCCCCUCAGUGCUGCAGCUAACGUAUUAAGCACUCCGGCUGGGGAGUACGGUCGCAAGACUGAAACUCAAAUGAAUUGACGGGG